AGUAAAACUCACCACACAAAAAAAAUAAAAAUAAUUUUUAAAAUAAAAAAAUAAAAGCAAAAUGUUUAUUAGGUGUCUCAAUAUAAACGUUUGAAAAAUUCCGCAGAAGCGCGAACAAGGCCGCCAGAUGUGCAGGCAGCGGAGGAGGAGGAAGAGAUGGACCUCCCGGAAUCGGCCUCAAGGGUCUUCUGCAGCCGCAUCAUGAGCAAGGUGAACACAGAUGACGUCAACGUCAUCAUCCUGGCCCAGAAGAACAUGCUGGACCGCUUUGAGAAGACCAAUGAGAUGCUGCUGAACUUCAAUAACCUGUCCAGUGCCCGCCUGCAGCAGAUGAGCGAGUGCUUCCUGCACCACACGAGGACCCUGGUAGAGAUGAAAUGGGACCUGGUCAGCAUCUUCCGCCAGACCAGGACACUGAAAGGGAAACUGGUCCAGCAGCACCCAGAGGCCUUCAGCCACAUCCCGGAGGCAUCCUUCCUGGAGGAUGAGGAUGAAGACCCCAUCCCACCCAGCACCACGAUCACCAUCGCUACCUCAGAGCAGAGCACGGGCUCCUGUGACACCAGCCCUGACACCAUCUCACCCUCCCUGAGCCCCGGCUUCGAGGACCUGUCCCAUGUCCAGCCCAGUCCCCCAGCCAUCAAUGGGCGCAGCCAGACAGAUGAUGAGGAGAUGGGCGAGUAGCCCUGCUGCCUGGUGCCUUGAGGGUCUCAGGGCAGCGGCAUACAAGGUGGCAGCAGAUGACCCUGCCUUGUUCUGUCACCCAGGGUGCCUUUGCUGCCCCAUUCUGUCACCCAGGCUCCCAGGGAGACAGGGCUCUCUCGAAGGGUGUGGAUUGCUGAGGGGGGUCUUUCAUUCUGGCUCCUUCCUUCCUCAGAACACAUCUCCUCUGCAAGACUCCUCUGCCAUGCCAGGGCAUGCCCAUCCCAGCAGGAGUUGCGGGGCUGGGCACGGGAAUUUUUCCAGAGCUGAGCCUCAUGUCUGCUGUGAAUAAUGCUUAAAAAGGUUCCCAGAGACCAGAGCCAGAUGUCCCCCACCUCUGGUCAGGACCUCCUUGAGGCGCACAAGCAUGGUCUCGUGUGAGUUCGCCCCCGCUCACCCCUGCACCCGCUAAUUCUGCUUUUCCUGCCCUUUCCUCUGUAAAACUAUCAAAUACUUUCUCCUCGGUAUCUCAAGGAAGUUUCUGAAAUAGGUCAAAGGCUCAAGAGGAAGGCUGGCGGGCCGUCCAUUCAGCCCUGAGCGUGCUGAGGCCUGUUUCUCGGAACACAGGUUAGUGGAACCUGAGGGCUCAGUAGGCCUCUCUGAGGGCCUCCAUGGAACAAACGGAGCCACUCGGGAAAGAAUUUAAUGGGAUAUUUUUGUACCCGAUGUUUACAGAUGCUAUUGGGAAGCUAUCAAUAAAAAGACACCAUUACUAAAAAGGGGAAAAAAAAGAAAAAAGAAAAA
This is an RNA transcript of Sapajus apella (tufted capuchin), 1446 nucleotides long. It is a transcript of the gene named kxDL motif-containing protein 1 pseudogene, with no coding region annotated. Lineage: Eukaryota; Metazoa; Chordata; Mammalia; Primates; Cebidae. The record is from RefSeq and is a predicted model, not a curated record. The transcript has a single exon.